RNAcentral lists this ribosomal RNA (120 nucleotides) under Petromyzon marinus (sea lamprey). The record is from RNAcentral. Lineage: Eukaryota; Metazoa; Chordata; Hyperoartia; Petromyzontiformes; Petromyzontidae.
GCCUUUGACCAAAUCACACAAAAUGUACCCGAUCUCACCAGGUCUCAGACUCAAAGCAGGGUUGAGCCUGGAUUGUGUUUGGAUGGGCGACAACCGUGCAUAACGCGGGUGUUAAUGGCU